RNAcentral lists this ribosomal RNA (497 nucleotides) under uncultured bacterium. RNAcentral's name for it is "partial 16S ribosomal RNA". It matches the Rfam family "Bacterial small subunit ribosomal RNA", at positions 28 to 507 of the family's 1533-position model. The record is from RNAcentral.
GAUGAACGCUGGCGGCGUGCCUAAUACAUGCAAGUCGAGCGAACAGAUGAGGAGCUUGCUCCUCUGACGUUAGCGGCGGACGGGUGAGUAACACGUGGAUAACCUACCUAUAAGACUGGGAUAACUUCGGGAAACCGGAGCUAAUACCGGAUAAUAUAUUGAACCGCAUGGUUCAAUAGUGAAAGACGGUUUUGCUGUCACUUAUAGAUGGAUCCGCGCCGCAUGAGCUAGUUGGUAAGGUAACGGCUUACCAAGGCAACGAUGCGUAGCCGACCUGAGAGGGUGUUCGGCCACACUGGAACUACGACACGGUCCAGACUCCUACGGGAGGCAGCAGUAGGGAAUCUUCCGCAAUGGGCGAAAGCCUGACGGAGCAACGCCGCGUGAGUGAUGAAGGUCUUCGGAUCGUAAAACUCUGUUAUUAGGGAAGAACAAAUGUGUAAGUAACUAUGCACGUCUUGACGGUACCUAAUCAGAAAGCCACGGCUAACUACGUG